CCUACGGGUGGCAGCAGUGGGGAAUAUUGGGCAAUGGAGGAAACUCUGACCCAGCCAUGCCGCGUGAAUGAAGAAGGUCUUCGGAUUGUAAAGUUCUUUAGUCAGGGAAGAAUAAACUGACGGUACCUGAAGAAUAAGCUCCGGCUAACUACGUGCAAGCACCCGCGGUAUUCCGGCGGGAGCAAGCGUUGUUCGGAUUGACUGGGCGUAAAGGGUGCGUGGGCGGUUAUGCAAGUUUGAAGGGAAAUACCCGGGGCUUAACUCGGGUGCUGCUUCUAAAACUGUAAGACUUGAGUGCAGGAGAGGUUAGUGGAAUGCGUGGUGUAGCGGUGGAAUGCGUAGAUAUUAGGAGGAACACC
This 359-nucleotide ribosomal RNA is filed under the name uncultured bacterium. Its description in RNAcentral is "partial 16S ribosomal RNA". It matches the Rfam family "Bacterial small subunit ribosomal RNA", at positions 338 to 710 of the family's 1533-position model. The record is from RNAcentral.